RNAcentral lists this ribosomal RNA (159 nucleotides) under uncultured bacterium. RNAcentral describes it as "partial 16S ribosomal RNA". It matches the Rfam family "Bacterial small subunit ribosomal RNA", at positions 355 to 507 of the family's 1533-position model. The record is from RNAcentral.
UGGGGAAUUUUGGACAAUGGGGGCAACCCUGAUCCAGCAAUGCCGCGUGAGUGAAGAAGGCCUUCGGGUUGUAAAGCUCUUUUGUCAGGGAAGAAACAGCAGCUCUAACACAGUUUGCGAAUGACGGUACCUGAAGAAUAAGCACCGGCUAACUACGUG